AUUGAACGCUGGCGGCAGGCCUAACACAUGCAAGUCGAACGGUAACAGGAAGCAGCUUGCUUCUUUGCUGACGAGUGGCGGACGGGUGAGUAAUGUCUGGGAAACUGCCUGAUGGAGGGGGAUCACUACUGGAAACGGUAGCUAAUACCGCAUUGCGUCGAAAGACCAAAGAGGGGGACAUUCGGGCCUAUUGGCAUCGGAUGUGCCCAGAUGGGAUUAGCUAGUAGGUGGGGUAACGGCUCACCUAGGCGACGAUCCGUAGCUGGUCUGAGAGGAUGACCAGCCACACUGGAACUGAGACACGGUCCAGACUCCUACGGGAGGCAGCAGUGGGGAAUAUUGCACAAUGGGCGCAAGCCUGAUGCAGCCAUGCCGCGUGUAUGAAGAAGGCCUUCGGAUUGUAAAGUACUUUCAGCGGGGAGGAAGGGAAGUAAGUUAAUACCUUUGCUCAUUGACGUUACCCGCAGAAUAAGCACCGGCUAACUCCGUG
This 490-nucleotide ribosomal RNA is filed under the name uncultured bacterium. RNAcentral's name for it is "partial 16S ribosomal RNA". It matches the Rfam family "Bacterial small subunit ribosomal RNA", at positions 30 to 507 of the family's 1533-position model. The record is from RNAcentral.